Non-coding RNA from Oncorhynchus gorbuscha (pink salmon), 3525 nucleotides. NCBI's taxonomy places the organism in Eukaryota, Metazoa, Chordata, Actinopteri, Salmoniformes, Salmonidae. The record is from the annotation of a RefSeq genome assembly.
AGGCACUGAGCUCUGGUAAUGUGUUUAUAGGCAGUUUGGACUGACAUGGUAACAAGUCCUGCACUAACCUGACUAUCACAGAACAAUGAGGACUGUCUUGAUUUUUGUGCUCUUGGUGGUGUCUGUAAAAAGUGUUCAGAGUCAGAUGCCCACAAACUGUCCCACAAACUGACUUGCACAUAUUCUGGGUUUGGUGGCAACAAUUGGAAUUCUUGGAUCAGGCAGGCUCCAGGAAAAGGGCUAGAAUGGGUUGCAACAAUUAGUGAUUCAAGCAGUUAUAUCUACUACUCCCAGUCUAUUCAGGGACGGUUCACCAUCUCCAGAGACAACAGCAAGCAGCAGGUGUAUCUCCAGAUGAACAGCCUGAAGACUGAAGACUCUGCUGUUUAUUAUUGUGCCAGAGGUGACUACCGUUUUGACUACUGGGGGAAAGGGACAAUGGUUACUGUUUCAUCAGCCUCAUCAACUGCUCCGACUUUGUUCCCUCUUGCGCAAUGUGGCUCCGGGACCGGAGAUAUGAUGACUCUGGGUUGCAUUGCCACUGGCUUCACGCCUGCCUCCCUCACCUUCAAAUGGAAUGACGAAGGCGGGAAUUCCCUGACUGAUUUCGUUCAGUACCCUGCGGUCCAAACCCGUGGAAGCUACAUGGGAGUCAGUCAACUCCGUGUAAAGAGAGCAGACUGGGACAGUAAAACAUUUGAAUGCGCCGUGGAACAUUCUGCUGGAUCAAAGAAAGUACCAGUGAAAAAACAACUGCAGCGGGUCAUUCCUCCAAAUAUCACACUGUAUCCUCUCUGGGAGGAACUGGAGGUAGGAUCAAAGGUGGGAAUCCUCUGCAUCCUGAGUGGGUUCUACCCUGACAAGCUGAGUGUGGAGUGGCUGCUAGAUGACAAGACUGUGACCACAUCUCCAGUCCAGCGGAAGCUGCAGAGUGUAGAAGGUGAGGAGAAAACAUUCAGCCUGAACAGCCAGCUGGAGCUGGACUGGAGCCAAUGGACUCAAGGGUCAGAGGUCACAUGCAAGGCAACCCACAAUGCAGCACAAGGACCACCUACAGGAACACCAGUCUCCAGGACCACCAGCAUUUGCUCAGUGUUUCUCUCUUCUACUUCAUCCAUUGACCUGGAGACCCCCAGAUUCAGGACAGUGAUGACACAGACUGAGGUAACAGCUACAUGUGUAGUCCACUCUGCAUAUGACGCCAAAGUGUCCUGGAUUCUGGAUGGAAAAGACACAACCAGCCGAACCCCAGUGAACCAGGCCAGCAGGACAACUCAGAGCAUCAGCAGUAACCUGACUCUUCCCUCAAGCCAAUGGAAAACCCUGAACACAAUAACAUGCAGAGCUGAACAUCGCUGCUUCAACUCCACAGAGAAGACCAGUAAUGUUAAAGGACCUGCAGUGAGCAGCACUCCCACAGUUCUGAUCAGGAGGUCUCUCCCAGAGUUACUGAAGGGAGACAGUGCUGUGCUGGAGUGUGCCAUCACUCAACUCUCCUCCAGUGACCUCUAUGUCACCUUUCAGGCCAAUGGGGUUGAUUUCCCUGAGAAACAGUAUGUGGAUCUGCCUGCCUCCAAAGGCCCCCAUUCACUCACCAGACGGUUCUCUAUCCCCAAAUCACACUGGAAGACAGACAACACUUUCACCUGUAAAGUUAACCAAGGUUUCUCCAACAGCUUGGUGUCUAGCUCCAAAGUCAAACUUUUUGGUGAACUGUCCAUGGAACUCCUUCUUGUCCCCAGUGAGGAGUCGUCUGGCUCAGGGACCCAGAAACUCAUGUGUUCUGGGUGGGGCUUCAACCCUAAGAUCAAGUGGCUCUCUGGGUCUGAACAGAGGUCUGCAGCAGACAAUGAGAUAAGGAUGGGAGAAGACGGAUAUGUGGCACUAACCAGUCAUAUCACAGUAACACAGCAGGAGUGGAAUGAGGGAAAGGACUUCAUCUGUGAGGUAGAUGACAAAGACCUUCAGAAAACUGUCAGGAAGAGCACCAGUUUAUGCACAGCGUUUCCCUCGUCUACUCCAUCCCUCCACCUGGAGACUCCCAGAUUCAGGACAGUGAUGACACAGACUGAGGUAACAGCUACAUGUGUGAUCCACUCUGCAUAUGACGCCAAAGUGUCCUGGCUUCUGGAUGGAAAAGACCCAACCAGUAGGACCCCAGUGAACCAGGCCAGCAGCACAACUCAGAGCAUCAGCAGUAACCUGACUCUUCCCUCAAGCCAAUGGAAAACCCUGAACACAAUAACAUGCAGAGCUGAACAUCGCUGCUUCAACUCCACAGAGAAGACUAGUAAUGUUAAAGGCUCAGUGACCCCCACCGCACCAACAGCAACCCUGUUCCAGGGUCCCAGUGAGCUCGUCUGCCUGGUGCUUGGCUUCAGCCCUUCAGACAUCAACAUCACCUGGCUGCUGGACAACGUCACAGAGCUGUGGAACAACAACACUAGCACCCCCUACAGGGCACCAGGAGGAAAGUUCGGCAUCAGGAGCCACCUUAGCCUGGCACACCAGGACUGGGCACCGGGGGCUGUUUACACCUGCAGGGUGACCCACUCCACCCAGACUCUGGCCCUGAACAUAUCCAAACCAGAGCUCCUUGAGGUGGAGGGUGUGUUCUUUGAUGAGAACAGGUCUGAUCCCAUUCUGGCGGACACUGCAGAGGAGAACUGGAACAUGGCCUGCAUCUUCCUGGUCCUCUUCCUCAUCUCCCUCCUCUACAGCUUCACAGUCACUCUGGUCAAGGUGAGAGGGAGGAUAUAACCACCUCACAGGUUUUCACUGCUUAGCUUUGAAGUGCAAUAUACUGUAUGUUUGUUCGAUUAGCGUAAAACACUAAAUAUAAGAAUGCAUUCUUAUGUCCCAGUGUGUCUUUACUGCAUUGAUGACCUAUUGAAGCACCUGUUGAGUUUCAGACAUGGAAUGUCAUCCCACACAGAGGGGAUUCAGGUUAUCUUCAUGUUCCAUAUAAAUCUAAUGGGUCUACCCCGAGGCUAUAUGUUGUUGUUUUCUAUGUCACUGCAACCUCAUUAUCACACUUACUCACAUUUUAUUGCUGGUUAAGCCACAGUUACAUUUUGAAUAUAAAACAAGCAUUACAAGGUUUUCACAACUUAUACUUAUAUUUUUCUUUUCUUUUUUCCAGACAAAAUGAUGACUUCAGGACACUUCCAUAUGAUGGAUCUCUAGGAGUUCAACUGGAAAUGAAACCUUUUAUUUCAACCUUUUCUUAUACAAUUCAAACACGUUUCUUAAGAAAAUUGCAUAGUUUGAAUUUCUUACGGUUUCCUGUUGCAGGUUUGAUGACAGGGAAGUGUUCUUGUUUUUAUUCCCCACAAAGAUAGACAAUGUGGAGGUGCUUACUUGCUCUCAUCUCUUGUUAAUGCGUUAAUGCACAUUUUUCAGCAGAGAUAAAAAUGGAUGUUUAACCUCUAUUAAAUAAAGCAUACCAUUACUCUCUAUGAUGAAGUAUUUAGACACCAGUUAUUGCUGAAUUAUCUGCUGAUAAUAAAACAUUAUUUCAAACCA